Molecule: long non-coding RNA, 336 nt
Filed under: Pogona vitticeps (central bearded dragon)
Lineage: Eukaryota; Metazoa; Chordata; Lepidosauria; Squamata; Agamidae
Description: lncRNA (ENSPVIG00000018315.1)
Source: RNAcentral
AUGUUAAAAAUGAUGACCCAAGUUUUUGUACAUCAAUUUUUAUCAGAAAAUCUAAGUAAUUGCUGUUCAGUUUGGACAAGCAUUCGUUUAAUAGAAUUUGUAUACUUUGUAACCAAGUUUUUAAAUUCAGCUAUUUUCGCAGAUAGCAGCUUAGAGACAAAACAGGCUACAAGUCUGAAGGAAGGCGGAGGAUCCCUCCCCCCUUCUCCCUGUCUUUUGUUAGCCACAGUCCAUGGAGAGCUGCUGAAAAAAGGCCCUCGUGGUAUAAGGCUCUUGCCGAGUUAGUUCUUCAAGCAAUCAUUCCUUUGGCUUGGUCAACUCUUUAACUCUAUUGGC